This 75-nucleotide transfer RNA is filed under the name Schistocerca americana (American grasshopper). RNAcentral describes it as "tRNA-Thr". It matches the Rfam family "tRNA". From Rfam's summary of the family: Transfer RNA (tRNA) molecules are approximately 80 nucleotides in length. Their secondary structure includes four short double-helical elements and three loops (D, anti-codon, and T loops). Lineage: Eukaryota; Metazoa; Arthropoda; Insecta; Orthoptera; Acrididae. The record is from RNAcentral. RNAcentral also lists the same sequence under 3 other names.
GCCCGCGGUGGCUCAGAUGGAUAGAGCGUCUGCCAUGUAAGCAGGAGAUCCUGGGUUCGAGUCCCGGUCGGGGCA